GUCUACAGCCAUGCCAUCCUGAACACGCCUGAUCUCGUCUGAUCUUGGAAGCUAAGCAGGGUUGGGCCUGGUUAGUACUUGGAUGGGAGACCAUCUAGGAAUAUCGGGUGCUGCAGGCA
This 119-nucleotide ribosomal RNA is filed under the name Pteropus alecto (black flying fox). The record is from RNAcentral. Lineage: Eukaryota; Metazoa; Chordata; Mammalia; Chiroptera; Pteropodidae.